This 253-nucleotide ribosomal RNA is filed under the name uncultured bacterium. Its description in RNAcentral is "partial 16S ribosomal RNA". It matches the Rfam family "Bacterial small subunit ribosomal RNA", at positions 524 to 776 of the family's 1533-position model. The record is from RNAcentral.
UACAGAGGGUGCAAGCGUUAAUCGGAAUUACUGGGCGUAAAGCGCGCGCAGGCGGUCCUUUAAGUCUGAUGUGAAAGCCCACGGCUCAACCGUGGAGGGUCAUUGGAAACUGGGGGACUUGAGUGCAGAAGAGGAAAGCGGAAUUCCACGUGUAGCGGUGAAAUGCGUAGAGAUGUGGAGGAACACCAGUGGCGAAGGCGGCUUUCUGGUCUGUAACUGACGCUGAGGCGCGAAAGCGUGGGGAGCAAACAGG